Molecule: ribosomal RNA, 574 nt
Filed under: Pseudomonas sp.
Lineage: Bacteria; Pseudomonadati; Pseudomonadota; Gammaproteobacteria; Pseudomonadales; Pseudomonadaceae
Description: bacterial SSU rRNA
Rfam family: Bacterial small subunit ribosomal RNA
Source: RNAcentral
UUCGAAAGGAACGCUAAUACCGCAUACGUCCUACGGGAGAAAGCAGGGGACCUUCGGGCCUUGCGCUAUCAGAUGAGCCUAGGUCGGAUUAGCUAGUUGGUGAGGUAAUGGCUCACCAAGGCGACGAUCCGUAACUGGUCUGAGAGGAUGAUCAGUCACACUGGAACUGAGACACGGUCCAGACUCCUACGGGAGGCAGCAGUGGGGAAUAUUGGACAAUGGGCGAAAGCCUGAUCCAGCCAUGCCGCGUGUGUGAAGAAGGUCUUCGGAUUGUAAAGCACUUUAAGUUGGGAGGAAGGGUUGCUGAUUAAUACUCUGCAAUUUUGACGUUACCGACAGAAUAAGCACCGGCUAACUCUGUGCCAGCAGCCGCGGUAAUACAGAGGGUGCAAGCGUUAAUCGGAAUUACUGGGCGUAAAGCGCGCGUAGGUGGUUUGUUAAGUUGGAUGUGAAAGCCCCGGGCUCAACCUGGGAACUGCAUCCAAAACUGGCAAGCUAGAGUAGGGCAGAGGGUGGUGGAAUUUCCUGUGUAGCGGUGAAAUGCGUAGAUAUAGGAAGGAACACCAGUGGCGAA